RNAcentral lists this long non-coding RNA (1504 nucleotides) under Taeniopygia guttata (zebra finch). RNAcentral describes it as "lncRNA (ENSTGUG00000029317.1)". The record is from RNAcentral. Lineage: Eukaryota; Metazoa; Chordata; Aves; Passeriformes; Estrildidae.
CGGGGGGAGUUCAUUGACCUGUUUUCCUUGCUCCACACAGAGCUGGCCCCCGAGCACGGCCCGCGCCCGGGGGACACGCUGGACCAGUGGGUCUCGGCCUUCCUGGUGUACGCCAGCGUGCUGUGCGAGAAGCACCCGGCGCGCUGCGGAGCCAUGUUCAAGUACCUGGACACCAUCCGCAAGCUGCACGCCACCUACGGGGGCACCUCCUGGAUGAACUACGAUGAGGAUUUCCGACGGCGGGCGGCCAAGAACCCCUCACUGCCCUGGGGCGACGUGGACUUGGACCUGUGGAUGAAGUGGAUGGCGCCCCUCAAGUCGCUCGUCCCCAGGCGCCCGCGUGCUGAGAGCGAGAGACAGGCCUCGCCGGCCCAGCCGCCACCGCCGGGCCAGAGCCCCAAGCAGGAGGACAAAAGCCAGACUCCAUGAAAACAGAAGACCAAUUGGGAUGGGAGUCAGACUAAGUGGCCUGACUCCGUUGGUGUUUAAGGAGCUCUGGUAUUCUAGUGCAUUCUUUUACCUCUGCUUCUGUUGCGUUGCAAGCUGUGCUAGAGAAGACGUAGGAAGUUCAUUUUACCCAAUCAGCAAUUGUAACAAUGGACUACCAACCUGCAGAGCAAGCCAGUUUGCUGGAAAACAGGAAUUCCUGCAGCGCAGCACUUGUCACAGACUACCCAAAGAGGGCAAAGAUUCAGGAAGGUGAAUAAAUUGAACACUGGUUGAAUGAGGUCAGGAACACUCUCCCGGAGGAGAAUCCUGCCCUAAAAUACUGCUUUGAAAGCAAAAGCCAAUUUAAUGCGCAGAUUAAACCUUCUCAUUUGACCAAACUUCUGUGCAAUCCUGGAUCUUUGCAGAUCACAACCGGACACUUCAAAACCCUGUGUAUUAUAUUUGUUUAAAAAAAAUAAAUCAUAACUUGUCUUGUUACAGCUGUUACUUUUGCCAUUUCAUUGAGAGAGUAGCUGCAACAUAAAUGUGUAUUUGACUCAGAAAAGUAUCAUACACUCGGGAUAAUAACUCAGGUUGUCAACAGAAUUAUUCUGUGAGGCUCAGUAUCCUCUUUCCAUUGUUCUGCAUUAACCAUAGCUGUCAUUGCCAGAUAGCCCAAUUGUGCAUUACAAAAUUCUUUGUCAAUUAUAAUGAUUGACCUAAGUUAUAAUUUUGUUUUUCUAGUAGAAUACUUAAAAAUUCUGACCAUCAGACUAGACCUUUGUAGUCCGGUGUUCAUGAAAAUCUUUUUCAUUGAUUAACAGUUUUCAUUCUGCAUCUCUGUUUUGUUUUCUUCUCCUUUUUCCUUGCAUACUAAGGGGUAUAGUUAAGGUAAUACUAUGAUUCAAUAAUGCUCGUGAUGGUAAGGGUUUGCCUUUAGUUGUUUCAGGAAAAAGCUGCCAUUAUCUCCUCUCCCUCUCUCAAUAUUUCCAAUAAUAUGCAUAACAUAAAGUGUUUGUAAAUUGAUAUCAAACUGUUUGUGACUUCACCUAAAUAAAUUUUUAUAUUUAAAUGC